RNAcentral lists this ribosomal RNA (253 nucleotides) under uncultured bacterium. Its description in RNAcentral is "partial 16S ribosomal RNA". It matches the Rfam family "Bacterial small subunit ribosomal RNA", at positions 524 to 776 of the family's 1533-position model. The record is from RNAcentral.
UACGAAGGGGGCUAGCGUUGCUCGGAAUCACUGGGCGUAAAGGGUGCGUAGGCGGGUCUUUAAGUCAGGGGUGAAAUUCUGGAGCUCAACUCCAGAACUGCCUUUGAUACUGAGGAUCUUGAGUUCGGGAGAGGUGAGUGGAACUGCGAGUGUAGAGGUGAAAUUCGUAGAUAUUCGCAAGAACACCAGUGGCGAAGGCGGCUCACUGGCCCGAUACUGACGCUGAGGCACGAAAGCGUGGGGAGCAAACAGG